Molecule: ribosomal RNA, 97 nt
Filed under: uncultured bacterium
Lineage: Bacteria
Description: partial 16S ribosomal RNA
Rfam family: Bacterial small subunit ribosomal RNA
Source: RNAcentral
CACACCGCCCGUCACACCAUGGGAGUGAGUUGCUCCAGAAGCCGUUAGUCUAACCGCAAGGGGGACGACGACCACGGAGUGGUUCAUGACUGGGGUG